GGAUCACAUCACUCUGCUAUUUCAGACACUGUUCAGAAAUAAAGUGUGUGGGAGGCAGAAAUGACCCCCAAAGUUGUCCACGUCCUAAUGCUGCAACCUUACAUGGAAACAGGAACUUCGCAGAUGUGAGGAAGGUGAAGAUCUUACGAUGGGGAGAUUUUCCUGAUGUAUCCACUGGGCCCAAUGUAAAGACAAGGGUUCAUACAAGAGGGAGGCAGGAGGACUCUGAGCAGGAGAAAUGACAACAGGAAGCAGAAGUUGGAGAGAAGCAAGGAAGGGGCUAUGAGCCAAGGAAUGUGGACAGCCCCUAGAAGCUGAGAAAGGCAAGGGAGCUCAUCUUCCCUAGUGCCUCCAGAAGGAAUGCAGCCUUGCCAACCCAUUUUAGACUUCUGGCCUAGAAUUGUCAGAUGGACUUCAAGUUCUCUCUCC
Molecule: long non-coding RNA, 429 nt
Filed under: Pan troglodytes (chimpanzee)
Lineage: Eukaryota; Metazoa; Chordata; Mammalia; Primates; Hominidae
Description: long non-coding RNA NONPTRT017873
Source: RNAcentral